Molecule: RNA transcript, 852 nt
Organism: Mandrillus leucophaeus (drill)
Lineage: Eukaryota; Metazoa; Chordata; Mammalia; Primates; Cercopithecidae
Gene name: protein unc-50 homolog pseudogene
Exons: 1
Source: RefSeq, a predicted model, not a curated record
UGGGAGGAGGUAGUGGGCUGGUUCGGACGCGGGUCGAGGCUGUAGCAGGACUCCAGGAAGAUGUUACCGAGUACUUCAGUGAAUUCCUCAGUGCAGGGGAACGGAGUCUUGAAUUCCAGGGAUGCAGCAAGACACACAGCCGGAGUGAAACGCUACAAAUAUCUGAGAAGGCUUUUCCGCUUUCGGCAGAUGGACUUGAAUUUGCUGCCUGGCAGAUGCUCUACCUGUUCACAUCCCCACAGAGAGUUUACAGAAAUUUUCAUUAUCGAAAACAGACGAAGGACCAGUGGGCCAGAGAUGACCCUGCUUUCUUGGUCCUGUUAAGUAUCUGGCUCUGUGUGUCCACUAUAGGAUUUGGCUUUGUGCUGGACAUGGGAUUCUUUGAGACAAUAAAGCUUCUCCUUUGGGUUGUAUUCAUAGAUUGCGUAGGCGUUGGUCUUCUGAUAGCAACUUUAAUAUGGUUCAUCUCUAACAAGUAUUUAGUGAAACGACAGAGCAGAGACUAUGAUGUGGAAUGGGGCUAUGCUUUUGAUGUGCAUCUCAAUGCUUUUUAUCCACUCCUGGUCAUUUUGCAUUUUAUCCAGCUUUUUUUCAUCAACCAUGUUAUCCUGACAAAUACAUUUAUUGGAUAUUUAGUUGGAAAUACCUUAUGGUUGGUUGCAGUUGGCUAUUAUAUCUAUGUAACUUUCCUGGGAUACAGUGCAUUGCCAUUUUUGAAAAAUACAGUAAUUCUUCUGUAUCCAUUUGCACCUCUGAUUCUGCUCUACGGGCUGUCCCUGGCACUGGGAUGGAACUUCACCCAUACUCUGUGUUCUUUCUAUAAGUACAGAGUGAAAUUUUAAAAAGUGAGAA